Molecule: small RNA, 125 nt
Filed under: Marmota monax (woodchuck)
Lineage: Eukaryota; Metazoa; Chordata; Mammalia; Rodentia; Sciuridae
Source: RNAcentral
GCUGGGCUCGGUGGUGCAUGUCUGUAAUCCCAGCGGCUUGGGAGGCUGAGACAGGAGGAUCACAAUUUCAAAACCAGCCUCAGCAAUGGCAAGGCACUAAGCAACUCAGUGAAACCCUGUCUCUA